This 84-nucleotide transfer RNA is filed under the name Caudoviricetes sp. RNAcentral's name for it is "tRNA-Tyr". It matches the Rfam family "tRNA". From Rfam's summary of the family: Transfer RNA (tRNA) molecules are approximately 80 nucleotides in length. Their secondary structure includes four short double-helical elements and three loops (D, anti-codon, and T loops). Further hydrogen bonds mediate the characteristic L-shaped molecular structure. tRNAs have two regions of fundamental functional importance: the anti-codon, which is responsible for specific mRNA codon recognition, and the 3' end, to which the tRNAs corresponding amino acid is attached (by aminoacyl-tRNA synthetases). tRNAs cope with the degeneracy of the genetic code in two manners: having more than one tRNA (with a specific anti-codon) for a particular amino acid; and 'wobble' base-pairing, i.e. permitting non-standard base-pairing at the 3rd anti-codon position. The record is from RNAcentral. Lineage: Duplodnaviria; Heunggongvirae; Uroviricota; Caudoviricetes. RNAcentral also lists the same sequence under 1 other name.
GGGCAGAUGUGCUUAGUGGCGAUAGCAGUGGGCCGUAACCCCACCACAUUAGAAACACCGUAGGUUCGACUCCUACUCUGCUCA